Molecule: ribosomal RNA, 422 nt
Filed under: uncultured bacterium
Lineage: Bacteria
Description: bacterial SSU rRNA
Rfam family: Bacterial small subunit ribosomal RNA
Source: RNAcentral
UCGAGAAUCUUCGGCAAUGGGCGCAAGCCUGACCGAGCGACGCCGCGUGGAGGACGACGGCCUUCGGGUUGUAAACUCCUGUCGAGGGGGCGGAAGGGCCGGCGCAGAGCCGGCCUUGACCUAGCCCUGGAGGAAGCACGGGCUAAGUUCGUGCCAGCAGCCGCGGUAAGACGAACCGUGCGAACGUUAUUCGGAAUCACUGGGCUUAAAGCGCGUGUAGGCGGGCCGGCACGUCCGUGGCUGAAAUCCCCCGGCUCAACCGGGGAAGGGGCCCGGAUACGACCGGCCUGGAGGGGGGUAGGGGGCGCCGGAACUUCCGGUGGAGCGGUGAAAUGCGUUGAGAUCGGAAGGAACGCCCGUGGCGAAAGCGGGCGCCUGGACCCCACCUGACGCUGAGACGCGAAAGCCAGGGGAGCGAACGG